GCCUAGCGAACGCAGAGGAUAGGGAGAGAAAAAGCAACCAGACGCCCAUCGCUCGCUCCUUCUCCCCACUGGUCGCAGCCAUGAGACCCUCCUCCUCUUCCUGCCCUCUCCCGCCUCCCCCGACCUGCUCGUCCCGCCUCCCCCAGCUCCGCUGCUUCGUCGGCCUCCGGUGGUCUGCCCCCCGCGUUCAGGUCAGGGGGCAAUUAGACGCGUUUGCAGGAAUUGGCAGUGGUGCGCGUGGAUGCGGUGCGCGAUUCAGAGCGCCUGCUUCCAGUGCGUCCCAACCUUGUUAUAGCUCCACCGUCAUUAGGAACGACAAUUCUCAAAAUGCUGAUUUUCCACGUAACUACUCCAAAAGGGAGAAGAAACCAUUUCCUAUACCAGUACUGGAGUUAAGGCGCCGAGCAAGACAGAGGAUGAAGGAAGCUGAAGGGAAGCCUAGGGGGCCGCCGCCACCUCCGAAAAAUGGAUUGCUGGUCCAGAGACUAAUACCAGAGGCAUACAGAGUGUACAACGCAAGAAUUUUGCUGAUCAACAACUUGAAGAGGCUGAUAAAAGUAGUACCAGUGAAAGGCUGCAAAUAUUGCAGUGAGAUACACGUUGGAUCUGUUGGACACCCUUUCAGAACAUGCCGAGGAAUGUCUUCUGAUAAACGCAAGGGAGAACAUGACUGGGGAAGUACUUUUGUUGAAGCUGUUUUCUUGCCAGUUGAAGCUUACCACCUAGAGGACCGUCUGGGCCCGCGUAUUCCUCAUGACCAGAGGUUUGAGGUGCCCCGCGUUCCUGCUCUUGUGGAGCUUUGCAUCCAAGCUGGUCUCGACCUCCCUGAGUACCCCACAAAACGCCGAAGAAAGCCACGUCCUACAAACCUCUGCACUUGGAGGCCCAACAACGUCUACAAGAAGAAGGUUGUGUAGUAGACAUCAAGCUCUUUUCUAGCGCCGUUGCGGGGAGGUAACGAGGAGGAACUUUCUAUUGAACCAAUCUCAUUAAUAAGGAGCCCAAGGAAGAUGGUUGAACCCACACAUAAUAUGAAGAAGAAAAAGAAAAGAAGGAGCAACAAAGGUAAAAAGGUAUCUCUCUUUAAUGAUGUUGCUCCUACUACUCAUUGUGAUGAUGAUAAUUGCUAUACUAUUGGUGCUAUCCAUACUAUUAAUGAUGAGAGUGAUUAUGCUUAUGAUAUGAAAAGGCCCAAGCUUGGGGAAGCUAUGUUUGAUGAGGAUGACAUAUUUGAGAAUAUAUUUGCUGCAAUGAAUGUUUGUCCCAAGCUUGGGGAUGCUAUGUUUUAAUGAAGAUGUUAUUUCUAGUCUCCCAAGUUUUGUUAUGCAAAGUUGUUAUGAUGAUAGCAUGCCUCUUACUUAUGAUUAUAUUGAUGAAAGUGGGUUUGGAAGAGUGUCAACUUUAGGAAGUAAUGAUCCCACUAUUUUGGAGGAUGUUUAAUCUUAUUGUGAUGAAUAUGAAAUUGGAUUUGGAAGAGUGUCAACUUUAUUUAGUGAUGAUUCCACUAUCUUGGAAGAGGUUUCAAUCGAUUAUGAUGAGAACAAAGUUGCUACUUAUGAUGAUUAUUGUGAUUAAACUUAUGCUAUAAAAAGUAGUGAUGAUUAUAUUUAUAAAACUUGUCAUGAUUAUGAUUACCCUUUUUCUAAACAUUACUCUUUUAAUGUGGAAACAAUUUAUAGUAUUCAAGUCUCCUAUGAUACUCCCACUAUUUCGAAUAAGAAGAAUUUUGCUUGUGUGGAUAGCAAUAAAUUUUCUAUGCUUGUAGAUCAUGAAAAGAAUGUUUUAGGUGCUGGUUAUAUUGUUGAAUUCAUUCAUGAUGCUACUGAAAAUUAUUAUGAGGGAGGAAUAUAUGCUUGUAGGAAUUGCAAUAAUAUCAAGUUUCCUCCCUAUGUGCUUAAAAUCUUGAAGUUAUGCUUGUUUUGCCUUCCUAUGCUAGUUGAUUAUUGUUCCCAUAAGUUGUUUGCUCACAAAAUCCCUAUGCAUAGGAAGUGGGUUAUACUUAAAUGUGCUAGUCAUAUUCUUCAUGAUGCUCUCUUUAUGUUUCAAUUCUUAUCUUUUAUGUGAGCAUCAUUUCAUCAUGCCUAGCUAGGGGCGUUAAACGAUAGCGCUUGUUGGUAGGCAACCCAAUUUAUUUUUGUUCCUUGCUUUUGUUCCUGUUUAGUAAUAAAUAAUUCAUAUAGCCUCUGGUUAGAUGUGGUUUUAUGUUUUAAUUAGUGUUUGUGCCAAGUAGAACUUUUGGAAAGACUUGGGUGAAGUCUUUGUGAUCUUGCUGUAAAAAACAGAAACUUUAGCGCUCACGAGAUUAGCUACCAUUUUUUACUGGAGAGUGCUUUUAGGUUGAUUCCUUUUGCAGAUUAUUAACAGACAAAUUCCUCAGGUACACCAAUUUAUUUCAUAAUUGUUGAAGUUACAGAAGUAUUCGAAUGAUACAGAUUACUACAGACUGUUCUGUUUUUGACAGAUUCUGUUUUCUAUGUGUUGUUUGCUUAUUUUGAUGAAUCUAUGAGUAGUAUCGGAGGGUAUGAACCAUACAGAAGUUGAAAUAUAGUAGAUAUUACACCAAUAUAAAUAAAUAAUGAGUUUAUUACAGUACCUUAAAGUGGUGGUCUGUUUUCUUAUACUAACGGAGCUUACGAGUUUUGUUUUGAGUUUUGUGUUGUGAAGUUUUCAAGUUUUGGGUAAAGAUUCAAUGGACUAUGGAAUAAGAAGUGGCAAUAGCCUAAGCUUGGGGAUGACCAAGGCACCUCAAGCUUUCGAGAUUUAGGAAACCGUGAUAUAAAAGGAAUUAAGGAGACAAUAGCUCAAGCUUGGGGAUGCCCAAGGCACCCCAAGAUAAUAUUUCAAGAAGUCUCAAUCAUCCAAGCUUGGGGAUGCCCCGGUAGGCAUCCCACCUUUCUUCUUCAACAAUUAACGGGCCUAGCUUGGAGAAGGAUGAACAUUGGAGCAAGAACAAGCAUGGAGAUGAUGGCAUGCGCAAGGGGAACAAGAACGGAGUUACAAGUGAUGAUUUCAGGACUUUGAAGCCACCAUAAUGGGUGCAUGAAGCCUUGGGCGAAAUAUACAAGAUGCCACUUCAUAAAUUUCGUCCCGAGGCUAUUCUAGGUGCUGCGUCACCUUAUUAUUGGGCCAGGUCUAUGUAAUUUCGAAAUACACAAGUAUAGGCUAUUUUUAGAGUCUGUAUGUGUGGGGAAACAAGAGAUAGGGUUGAUUUCGGACCCCUCCACCAAGGGCCACGAAAUCCCCCCCUCUUCCUCCAUAUAUACAGCCCUUAGGGCACCGUUUAGACUUUGGGUUUUGUUUAGAUUAAAAGUUUGCCAUAGCUGCAACUUCACGUACUUCUUUUGUGUUCAACGACCAGACAAAGGCGUCACAGAACCCCACCUUGAUCAAUAAAGCUUUCAUCUUAUAUUCGCAAUAUCCA
RNAcentral lists this ribosomal RNA (3421 nucleotides) under Triticum aestivum (bread wheat). RNAcentral describes it as "partial small subunit ribosomal RNA". The record is from RNAcentral. Lineage: Eukaryota; Viridiplantae; Streptophyta; Magnoliopsida; Poales; Poaceae.